AGAGUUUGAUCAUGGCUCAGGACGAACGCUGGCGGCGUGCUUAACACAUGCAAGUCGAACGGUGACCCAGGGCUUGCCCUGGUGAUCAGUGGCGAACGGGUGAGUAACACGUGGGCAACCUGCCCCUGACUUCGGGAUAACUCCUCGAAAGAGGAGCUAAUACCGGAUACGACCACUUCGGACAUCCGAUGGUGGUGGAAAGUUCUUCGGUCAGGGAUGGGCCCGCGGCCUAUCAGCUAGUUGGUGGGGUAAUGGGCCUACCAAGGCGACGACGGGUAGCCGGCCUGAGAGGGCGACCGGCCACACUGGGACUGAGACACGGCCCAGACUCCUACGGGAGGCAGCAGUGGGGAAUAUUGCGCAAUGGCGAAAGCCUGACGCAGCGACGCCGCGUGAGGGAUGAAGGCCUUCGGGUUGUAAACCUCUUUCAGCGGGGACGAAGCGAAAGUGACGGUACCUGCAGAAGAAGCACCGGCUAACUACGUG
This 486-nucleotide ribosomal RNA is filed under the name uncultured bacterium. RNAcentral describes it as "bacterial SSU rRNA". It matches the Rfam family "Bacterial small subunit ribosomal RNA", at positions 8 to 507 of the family's 1533-position model. The record is from RNAcentral.